RNAcentral lists this unclassified non-coding RNA (377 nucleotides) under Hevea brasiliensis (rubber tree). Lineage: Eukaryota; Viridiplantae; Streptophyta; Magnoliopsida; Malpighiales; Euphorbiaceae. The record is from RNAcentral.
AGGACAUGCUGAAUAACAUAAUUCCCAUACUGAUCUUGUGCCAGAAUGCAAACAGACUGCAUAAUCUCAUCCAUAAUAAUGUGCUGAGUAUUCAUGUUCUUACAGUGUUCCAGGACCCUCUGAAUGACGCGACAGCCAUAAGGAUGGGUGGAAAGUGCUAGAACUUGUCCAUAGAAAGCUGAGAUAAUAAACUGAAUUCGAACUUCAGGUACACACUCUAUGCACUUCUGAAUAACAUGAUUACCAUUCUGAUCACGAACACAUUUCAUAACUGAACCAUCAAGCUCUGCCACCAUUUGAGUCUGCUGAUCCACAUCAACCACCUCCAAGGCCUGUGAUCACUUCUACAGUAUUGAGUGCUUUACACAGCCAAAAUA